Molecule: ribosomal RNA, 2259 nt
Filed under: human gut metagenome
Description: bacterial LSU rRNA
Rfam family: Bacterial large subunit ribosomal RNA
Source: RNAcentral
GCGUGAAUCUGCCGGGACCAUCCGGUAAGGCUAAAUACUCCCGAGAGACCGAUAGUGAACCAGUACUGUGAAGGAAAGGUGAAAAGCACUUCGAACAGAAGAGUGAAAUAGUCCCUGAAACCAUGCGCCUACAAGCGGUCGGAGCAGCUUUAUGCUGUGACGGCGUGCCUUUUGCAUAAUGAACCUACGAGUUACUUUUUCCGGCAAGGUUAAGCAUCUUGAGAUGUGCAGCCGAAGCGAAAGCGAGUCUGAACAGGGCGUCGAGUCGGAAGGAGUAGACGCGAAACCAAGUGAUCUACCCUUGGUCAGGUUGAAGGUUAGGUAACACUAACUGGAGGACCGAACCGAUAAGCGUUGAAAAGCUUCCGGAUGACCUGAGGGUGGGGGUGAAAGGCUAAUCAAACUUGGAGAUAGCUCGUACUCCCCGAAAUGCAUUUAGGUGCAGCCUUUGGUGUUUCUUGUAUGAGGUAGAGCGACUGAUUGGAUGCGAGGCUUUCACCGGCUAUCAAGUCCAGACAAACUCCGAAUGCGUACAAGUGAAAGCCAAGGAGUGAGGGCAUGGGUGCUAAGGUCCAUGUCCUAAAGGAGAACAAUCCGGACCAACAGCUAAGGUCCCGAAAUGAAUACUAAGUUGAACUAACGAAGUCAGAUUGCUAAGACAGCUAGGAUGUUGGCUUGGAAGCAGCCAUUCAUUUAAAGAGUGCGUAACAGCUCACUAGUCGAGGAGUUUGGCGUGGAUAAUAAUCGGGCAUAAGUAUUCUACCGAAGCUUUGGGAUGAGAAAUCAUCGGUAGGGGAGCAUUCCACUCGGCGUCGAAGGUGAGGCGCGAGCCUUGCUGGAGCGUGUGGAAAAGCAAAUGUAGGUAUAAGUAACGAUAAGGCAGGCGAGAAACCUGCCCGCCGAAAGACUAAGGUUUCCUGAUCAACGCUAAUCGGAUCAGGGUAAGUCGGGUCCUAAGGCUCAGCCGAACGGCGAGGCCGAUGGCAGAACCGGUUAAUAUUCCGGUACUACCUGUGGGAGUGACGUGGAGACGGAGUCGUGACAGCGCCGCGGACUGACGGAAUAGUCCGUUGAAGGGUGUAGAUGCUGAUUGUUCCAGGCAAAUCCGGAGCAAGAGUCGAACCUGAUAGUAUGGAGCGUUCUUAGAACAAUCCAAUAGUGCGUGUAAUCAUACUUCCAAGAAAAUCCGCUAAACUUAAUCCUGCAGGUACCCGUACCGCAAACGGACACACGUAGUCGGGUUGAAUAUACUAAGGCGCUUGAGUGAUUCACGGUUAAGGAACUAGGCAAAUUGACCCUGUAACUUCGGGAUAAAGGGUCCCUACUGAGAGGUAGGGCGCAGAGAAUAGGUCCAGGCAACUGUUUAACAAAAACACAUGGCUGUGCGAAAUAGAAAUAUGAAGUAUACAGCCUGACACCUGCCCGGUGCUGGAAGGUUAAGAGGAGAGCUCAUCGCAAGAGAAGGCUUGAAUUGAAGCCCCAGUAAACGGCGGCCGUAACUAUAACGGUCCUAAGGUAGCGAAAUUCCUUGUCGGGUAAGUUCCGACCUGCACGAAUGGUGUAAUGAUCUGGACACUGUCUCAACCGUGAGCUCGGUGAAAUUGUAGUAUCGGUGAAGAUGCCGAUUACCCGCGAUGGGACGAAAAGACCCCGUGAACCUUUACUAUAGCUUAACAUUGAAUUUGGGUAAUUGAUGUGUAGGAUAGGCCGGAGGCUUUGAAGCGGGCACGCCAGUGUCCGUGGAGCCGCUGUUGAAAUACGGCCCUUUGAUUAUUUGAGUUCUAACCCGUUGUUGCGGGGACACUGUUUGGUGGGUAGUUUGACUGGGGUGGUCGCCUCCAAAAGUGUAACGGAGGCUUCUAAAGGUGCCCUCACGACGAUUGGUAACCGUCGGCAGAGUGUAAUGGCAUAAGGGCGCUUGACUGGGAGACUAACAAGUCGAUCAGGUAGGAAACUAGAGCAUAGUGAUCCGGUGUUUCCGUAUGGAAGGGACAUCGCUCAAAGGAUAAAAGGUACUCCGGGGAUAACAGGCUGAUCCCUCCCAAGAGCUCAUAUCGACGGAGGGGUUUGGCACCUCGAUGUCGGCUCGUCACAUCCUGGGGCUGGAGAAGGUCCCAAGGGUUCGGCUGUUCGCCGAUUAAAGUGGCACGCGAGCUGGGUUCAGAACGUCGUGAGACAGUUCGGUCUCUAUCUAUCGUGGGCGCAUGAAAUUUGCGUGGCUCUGACACUAGUACGAGAGGACCGUGUUGGACUGACCUC